Molecule: ribosomal RNA, 301 nt
Filed under: uncultured bacterium
Lineage: Bacteria
Description: partial 16S ribosomal RNA
Rfam family: Bacterial small subunit ribosomal RNA
Source: RNAcentral
CAGCAGCCGCUGGAAUACGUAGGUGGCAAGCGUUGUCCGGAUUUAUUGGGCGUAAAGCGAGCGCAGGCGGUUUCUUAAGUCUGAUGUGAAAGCCCCCGGCUCAACCGGGGAGGGUCAUUGGAAACUGGGAGACUUGAGUGCAGAAGAGGAGAGUGGAAUUCCAUGUGUAGCGGUGAAAUGCGUAGAUAUAUGGAGGAACACCAGUGGCGAAGGCGGCUCUCUGGUCUGUAACUGACGCUGAGGCUCGAAAGCGUGGGGAGCGAACAGGAUUAGAUACCCCGGUAGUCCCUGUCUCUUAUAC